GGGCUAAAGUGCAAUUUUUCCUAAAAAAAUAACCAAACAACAACUCUCAUUUCUUUCUUCUUCCUUUUUCCUGCAUGUCACCUCUCCCAUUACUAUUUCUUCACCAUUUUCUGCCAUAACAACCACUACGUCAGCAUAUCACUUUCCUCUUCUUUUUCUUGUCAGCGCACCUAUUUCUCCUCUCUCUUCCUUCAUUGGAUGUCAAUCUUGGAGAGGAAGAAGACGCUCCUUGCUUCCAUCACUAAAGCAAUCCCUUGCCGACCUCUUCUCUCAAAUUCGACACUCGAUUUAGAUUCCCCACAAUCAAAAAUCUUAAGUCAGCCCUUCCCCUCUUUCAUUCCGUCGUCGGCAGCCUCUACACCACCUCACCCGAUCCGAUUCUUCUCCACUGUGAUCUGGCAUUAUCCAGUGAGAUUUAGGCUGCAAUUUUGGUGUAUUUGGACUCCAUACUUCUCAAGUUUUGUGCGGCCGUCUUUCGAUUCGAAUUUCGACACGGUUGACUCUAAAGAUUUGCUACGGAUUUCAAUGGCCUUAUGCCUACCCAUUCCUUAGUGCUAGUUACGGGCGCACAAAUCAGGUUGUGACAGUAAUGGUUAUUUCUAAGUGGUGACAUAUUACUUAAUAAUUGAUACUGUUUCUAUCCUUGCUUACUCCGAUGGAACUGCUUCAUCAUGCAAUCUUAGGAUAGGAGGCAAUUCCACAUCAGUCUUAUGGGUUUUACAAAAUUGAGAUACUUGGUGCACUCAUUUUAAAGAUGACAUCAACAACUAGUUACAACUUCUUUUAGCAUGUUAUUAAUCUUGCCUAUAUGGCAUCUUGUAAUUGGUUCAUAAACUCUUUCAAUUAAGAAAUGAACAUUUUACAAAGUUGAAAUUGUUCAGAUUUCCAUUCAAAUGAAAUGGCUUCUUGUUGGGAUCUUUGUGUAUGAAGCCAUUGCUAGACUUAUUAAUGAAACAAGUGAAAUUCAGGGUUUUCUUAUGUUUGUUUCUGUAUUUGGAUUAGUUAUACCAACUAUAAGGAAUCUUGAUUUCUUGAAAAUGUUAAGGCCUUUUUUUAAGCCUCACCAUCUUAUUAUUGUUC
This is a long non-coding RNA of Ricinus communis (castor bean), 1080 nucleotides long. RefSeq lists it as uncharacterized. The record is from RefSeq and is a predicted model, not a curated record. Lineage: Eukaryota; Viridiplantae; Streptophyta; Magnoliopsida; Malpighiales; Euphorbiaceae. The transcript is spliced from 3 exons.